UACGGAGGGUGCAAGCGUUAUCCGGAAUUACUGGGUUUAAAGGGUGCGUAGGCGGCCUUGUAAGUCAGGGGUGAAAGGUCACGGCUCAACCGUGGAAUUGCCUUUGAUACUGCGGGGCUUGAAUCAGGCUGAGGUCAGCGGAAUGUGGCAUGUAGCGGUGAAAUGCAUAGAUAUGCCAUAGAACACCGAUUGCGAAGGCAGCUGACUAGACCUAGAUUGACGCUGAGGCACGAAAGCGUGGGGAGCGAAC
This 250-nucleotide ribosomal RNA is filed under the name uncultured bacterium. RNAcentral's name for it is "partial 16S ribosomal RNA". It matches the Rfam family "Bacterial small subunit ribosomal RNA", at positions 524 to 773 of the family's 1533-position model. The record is from RNAcentral.